Long non-coding RNA from Scophthalmus maximus (turbot), 1013 nucleotides. RefSeq lists it as uncharacterized. The transcript is spliced from 3 exons. The record is from RefSeq and is a predicted model, not a curated record. Lineage: Eukaryota; Metazoa; Chordata; Actinopteri; Pleuronectiformes; Scophthalmidae.
UUGUGCAGCGGGUGUGAGAGGAGCCGCUCGGUGUUUGUUGAUCCUCUCACCACCAUAUCACCUACAGCGCUGACCUCUCCCCUAAAACUGAUCAUGGACCCGUCUUUGCGCAGACUCCGAUUCCAAUUUCAUUGUCUCCGAGGGCAGCAGAUAAACCCGGGCUUGAACCAGUGAUGCCCCCCCGGGUGGAGGCACGCAGUGCACCACCGAAACUGAAAAGACCACAUUCACUCAGGGAAAUAGCUGUUCAACAUCCGAGGCUGCGACCCCGGCGUUGCUGGGGGAGUCUGAUCGGAGCGGUACCGGCUACAUCUAUACAUCUCUGCCUCCCCGCCAGGCCAGGAAGAGUCACAGACCAUUUCACUCGGGUAUUAAUGACCAACAACAGCCCAACUGCCUCUAAAACUAGAGUAUAUGAAACCCAUGAAAGCAUAUACACACACACACACACACACACACACAGAGAGAGAGAGAGAGAGAGGCUGGGAGGAGGAAGGGGGUGCGGAGGGCAAGAUGCCAAGGCAAAGAGAAAUGAGGUGUGGGAAAGGCGAGGUAGAGGAAAAAAACAAAGAGUCAAAAACAGAAAGUAGAUAAAGAUUGAGCGAUUCGAAAGGGCAUGUACUGUACAGGAUCACGAGCCGGAGAAAUAAACAACUGUCAAGGACUACACUCGCCAGCGACCUGGGGGUGCCAGUGGAAAUAUGAGGGGAAAACAAAGAUGGUGCAGCAUCAUUUAUGCAAACUCAGUUUACCGGCCUUCAGCAAAUGGAUGAUACAGAGGUCACCGGGUCUGUCAAGGGCAAGAAAAGAGAAGUUAGGUCCUCUAUUUGUUGAGAUUGGAGAAUGAAAUGAAGGCCUAUUUACGUAUCUACUAAGCUUUGAACGACAUUCUGGCAUCAUCUUUUUAUGUCGAUUUAUUGUUAUUUAAUUAACAGUUUACAGUUCAAUUCGGGUUUUUUGCUUGUUUAAACGAUGCUGACCAUAAAAAAUUCUCCCAAAAUUUCUGUGCGAAA